GUGGGGAAUAUUGGGCAAUGGGGGAAACCCUGACCCAGCAACGCCGCGUGAAGGAAGAAGGUUUUCGGAUUGUAAACUUCUGUCCCAAGGGAAGAAGAAAGUGACGGUACCUUGGGAGGAAGCCCCGGCUAACUACGUGCCAGCAGCCGCGGUAAUACGUAGGGGGCGAGCGUUGUCCGGAAUUAUUGGGCGUAAAGGGUGCGUAGGCGGCCUGUCAAGUCAGAUGUGAAACCCCCGUGCUUAACAUGGGACCUGCAUUUGAAACUGAUGGGCUUGAGUGUGGGAGAGGCAAGCGGAAUUCCCGGUGUAGCGGUGAAAUGCGUAGAGAUCGGGAGGAACACCAGUGGCGAAGGCGGCUUGCUGGACCAAGACUGACGCUGAUGCACGAAAGCGUGGGGAGCAAACAGGA
This 409-nucleotide ribosomal RNA is filed under the name uncultured bacterium. RNAcentral describes it as "bacterial SSU rRNA". It matches the Rfam family "Bacterial small subunit ribosomal RNA", at positions 354 to 777 of the family's 1533-position model. The record is from RNAcentral.